UCCUACCUGUUUGAAGGUAGUAUCAGAUAUGCAUUGAGUUCAAAGGGCAGCAUCAAGCUCGUGUGGCUCAAUCUUUUUCUAUGAUUAAGUCGUGAGUAGUUCUUAGCUUCACAAAAUGCUGUACGUGUAGCUGCAGAUAAAAGAGGUCAGAUAUGUGUAAAUAGGUCAGAUAUGUUUUAACUGAAGCUGCUCGUGUAUAUUUAUACAACUGAGAAAUAGCUGACAGAGGCAGACAGGUAGGUGGUGUUGUGUCUCUGUAUAUUUCAGUGUAAACUAUUUUGUUGUGAAGUGUAGUUGCUACUAAUGUCCACCUUGAUGACAAUGUUUUUCUUGACGACUCUUAUCGGUCUUUGUGCCUAAUGAAGGAGAUAUGCCAUAGGACCGUUAGUUUUAUGAGAAGCCAAUGCCAAGUCCAACACAAAGACUUUGACACGUGAUGACUAGAAUGGUUUUCGUUUAUUUCUUCCUUCAUUGAUACUUAGCAGCACUUUGAUAAAUAUGUACUUAUGUGAGAUUGUGCAGCACGUGCUGACUACAGGUGCAAAUCGCCAACUUUGAAAUUAGAUUAUAAAUAAACCUCUGUGUUUCAGGCGCUGAAAUUCGCAAAAUAUUAUUUAUAUUAUCUCUGCCUACCAGAAUCCGUUUACAACUCGGACCGAUUGGGUAAUUCUUUAAAGAAAAUAUCCGUCAAUGUUUCGUCACCUGAUGUGACAUAAUACAAAUCCAGGUGUUAACUAUCGCUGAUGUAGAGUAACCUGAGGACUAGGAACACAGAAGACUGCAGGACACCACGAUGGCCCCAGACACAAAUAGAAAAUCGCUUGAUGAACAAGAACAUGGAGAAGGAGAGAGACACUCAGGUGAUGAUGUGGACUCUGGAUGGGCCUGGGUUGUGCUUGUUAGUGUCUUUUGUCUGAUGGCCUUAAUGGCCGGCUUUGAAAACACCCAAGGUCUGGUGUUUGUGGAGAUUGAAGAGAAGUUUAGGGUGUCAGCCUUAGUCACAUCCAUCAUCGGAGGCGCCUACUUCAUCGCCGUCAGCAUCUCAGUGAUUUUCGUCAUGAUGUUCGUGCUGGAAAUGAUGUCUGUGCGACAAUGCAUGCUUAUCGGCGUGGCACUGUACACCUCCGGGGUUGGGGUCAGCUCUGUUGUGAGGUCAUACCCAGGGCUAGUCGUGACCCUCGGGGUAAUAACUGGUGUUGGAGCUUCCUUCUUGUAUGGCCCUAGUUUCGUUUUGCUGGGGAGAUACUUUGACCGCCGCCUGUCCUUAGCUACAGCAGUGGCCAACACUGGGGUCAGCGUGGGGUCAAUUGUAAUACCUUUUGUGAUGCGCCUGUUGCUGGACCAGUUCUCCUUGUCCGGUGGUCUGCUGGUGAUGAGCGCUGUUCUCGCCAAUAUGUUUGUCUGCGCAUGUCUCUUGCGACCCUUCCCGGCAUCGCAUCGUGACGCUCAUUCUACUUGUCACCUUAGUGCCAGCAAAGAUGACAUGGUGUCUGAUCCUCUGUCGGAAAAUACAUCAGAAAAACUUCUCCACACUGAGAAUGAACUUUCAUCAACGCCAGAAAAACAUUGUCUUGGAGAGUUGAGUCCCCUGACUGUGGCUCAAAAACCAGGCACAUCGUCUCCUUUGUCUUGUGAUGACAAUGUUGUUCAGUUAGGAGACAGAGACAGCAUUUUAUUCUAUCCCCAUGAAGGUGUUUCCACAGUUUGUGGUCCAUGCGACAAGAAGACCAGAGUGUGGCUGUCAGCAGCCAGAAGGAGACUUGCACAAACAUUUGACAUCUCUGUCUUCAGGAGAUUGGCCUUCUGGGUGCUGGUGUUUCAUCAGUGGUUCGGAAUUCCGGCUGCAAGUCUUGCUCUUGUCUACUUACCUCCGCUUGCCUUGGAGAAGGGAUUUAGUGAAAGGGAGGCAACCUUCAUGGUGAUGGUGACCGGAGGCUGCGACAUCUUCAGCAGGAUUUUACCAGGAGUUAUCGCCAAUUUCAAACUGCUGCAGCCACACGAGAUGGUGAUAGCAAGUCAGAUGAUCCUGGGAAUCUUGUUUCAGUCUUCCGGCCAUGGUGGCUUUCUCCGCUGUUCUGGGGACCUUCGGCGGUGUCUUCUUUUCCAUGAGGCAGAUGAUGAUCAUUGACUUCGUGGGCCUCCAACGAUUUCCGAUGGUCUUUGGAUUUAUCCAGCUUUUCAACGCCAUCUCAUUAGCUGUUGGAUUUUUAAUUGUCGGGUACAUGAAGGACACAACUGGAUCCUGUAUAAUGUCCUUUCACUACUUGGGUGCUACCCAGAUCGUUUCUUGUGGCAUCUUCUUGUCCUUCCCGCUGUUGAGUCGUUGUUGGCAACGGUGUGGGAGAGAAGCUGAAGG
RNAcentral lists this unclassified non-coding RNA (2356 nucleotides) under Pomacea canaliculata. RNAcentral's name for it is "monocarboxylate transporter 12-like, transcript variant X3". Lineage: Eukaryota; Metazoa; Mollusca; Gastropoda; Architaenioglossa; Ampullariidae. The record is from RNAcentral.